UGCUCUGGUUCAUUAACCCCAGAUCUGCAGACGGGUAAAUUGAGGCACAGAGGGUUCAAUGCUCACUAGGGGUAGAGGAUGGGGAGGACAAGGGGAACUCUGCUCCAAGACUGCUGAGCUGUCCCCAGUAAUUCAUCUCUGGCUUGCUGAUCUGGGGAUGUGGAAGAUCCUCUAGCACCACCAGGCUUCCCUGAGUGGGGGCUGCGUGAGACACGACGAGCUAGAGACUCGAGGGAAGCCAGGAAAGCUGAUGCAUCUACAGCAAUGGCUUAAAGCUGUGUUCAAACUCCUGACUCUGCAUCUGCUGUGCUGCGUAGGGAAAGGAGCAGCAUUUCCUACGCCACUGUAGCAUACAGGAAUGGGGCAGUAUGUUUGAAAGAGUUGGGAUAUCCUCAAAUGAGCCCUCUGACUGCCUCCUGCAAAAGCCAGCAGAACCCAGCUGAGCCAUCAGGUGUGUGCAGUCAGGGCUGGGUGAGUUGGUGAAGGAUGGAGGCAGUGGUGGCACACAGGUACCAACCACAUCAAGCAGUGCAAAUGCUGCGGGGAGUUAGGGCUUCUUUCCCCACCACCCUCCAGGAAAUCUGUGUCUGUGUGUAGUGGGGUUUUGUGUAUUUGCAUUGGGUCGUAAAAUAACCUAUUAGGAUGCUUGCUGUGCCUCAGGUGCCUGAAAUAUUGCAAAGACCUUGUGCCCACAAAAUUGGCCCAGCUCAGCAA
This 714-nucleotide long non-coding RNA is filed under the name Cyanistes caeruleus (blue tit). Its description in RNAcentral is "lncRNA (ENSCCEG00000013368.1)". Lineage: Eukaryota; Metazoa; Chordata; Aves; Passeriformes; Paridae. The record is from RNAcentral.